GUUAUUCUUCGGUUUGCCUCCUCCCAGUGGCGUGGAUUUGCUCCCGACCCGCUUUUGGGGCGUGCCUGCUUCCUCCUCUCUGUUAGAUCUCGCUCUGUCACCCAGGCUGGAGUGAAAUGGCACAAUCUUGGCUCACUGUAACCUCCGCCCCCAGGUUCGACUGAUUCUCGUGCCUCAGCCUCCUCAGUAGCUGGGAUUACAGAUGAGCCCCAGAGAGGCGAAGCCACUUGAGCUCGUGAGUGACAGUCAGAUGUCAAGCCCUGCUCUUUCUAAAGCGUGCUGCCUUCAGAAAAGAAGAGCCAGAAGGAUGGAAAUUACUUCAGAAAGAUGAAUACCAGCUUUGAAGGAAUAAAAGCUGACGAGGAAUUGAAGGAGUUGAGGCACGAGCUUGAACAGGGUUGCAUGUUUGGCCCUUGAUUGUAAAUGCCCAUUGCUGCACCUGUUCCUGUUACUUGGGGAGUUGCAGCAGAAGGAACAGCGGCCUGGGACUCCAGAGAACUGGGUUCCCUCUCAUCCCUCCAGGGCCACCACUUCUUGUGGGCCCUUGGGCAAGUCACUGUACUUUCUGAGUCUCAGUUUCCCCAUUUGCAGAAUGGAAAUAACUACCCCGGUCUACCAACUUAGAAGAAUUGCUUUGAGGAUCUGAUAAGGUGGUGUGGAUGAUGCUGCCUUGGGGGCUUUACAGUCUGGAGCUCAAGGGACCCCUUAAGUUGGGCUUACUUAGUAACUCCAGGGGUGGGCAGAACAGGACUCCAAUGAGGGUUUUUUUCUUUUUCCCUUUUUUUUCUUUUCCUAUCUCUUAACUUUUAUCUUUAUUAUUUUACAAUGCCCUUGUAAGAUGAAACAAGUGAUGCUGAAAUAUCUUUUUCUUUUUUAACCUUUAUUUUAGAAUUGGGGUACAUGUGCAGGUUUGUUACAUAGGUACAGUGUGGGCUGCUGAGGUUUGGGAGUACGAAUGAAUUAGUCACCCCAGUGGUGAGCAUAGUGCCCGAUAAGUGGUUUUUUCAACCCUUACUCCCAUCCCUCUCCAUUCUUGUGUUCCCCAGUGUCUGCUGUUCCCAUUUUUAUGACCAUGUGUACUCAAUGUUUAGCUCCCACUUAGAAGUAAGAACAUGCCCAGCACUUUGGGAGGCCGAGGUGGGUGGAUCAUGAGGUCAAGAGAUCGAGACCAUCUUGGCUAACAAAGUGAAACCCUGUCUCUACUAAAAACAUAAAAAAUUGGCCGGGUGUGGUGGUGGGCACCUGUAGUCCUAGCUACUCGGGAGGCUGAGACAGGAGAAUCGCCUGAACCGGGGAGGUGGAGGUUGCAGUGAGCUGAGAUUGUACCACUGCACUCCAGCCUGGGUGACAGAGUGAGACUCCAUCUCAAAAAAAUAAAAAUAAAAAAAUAAAAAGAAUGUGGUGUAUGA
This 1409-nucleotide long non-coding RNA is filed under the name Homo sapiens (human). RNAcentral describes it as "non-protein coding OSER1-DT:31". Lineage: Eukaryota; Metazoa; Chordata; Mammalia; Primates; Hominidae. The record is from RNAcentral.